Molecule: long non-coding RNA, 463 nt
Filed under: Rattus norvegicus (Norway rat)
Lineage: Eukaryota; Metazoa; Chordata; Mammalia; Rodentia; Muridae
Description: long non-coding RNA NONRATT033801
Source: RNAcentral
CCAUGGGAGAUACUUUGUCUAGGUUAGAUCUCUCAAGUUAGUACGACAGUGAUGACUAAAUCAGGGGAGAAGGGCAGAAUUUGACACAUGGAAUGAUUUAUGUCUCUGGUCUAUACAGAAAAAAGCAGGCAACAAUCAAUUCAAGUUUUUUCUUGUUCUGUUUCAGACCGCAAGGGGACUCAGAAAUGUCACCAUUUUUGGCUGUAAAGAGAGAAAUUCGUGCUGCAUGCUGGGCAGCAUCUCUCCUCUGCUCCCGUGGGUAUUUCUCAGGGCCCUCAGCGCAGCAUUAGCCGUUUGCUGGUACAACUCCUACAGGCGUGCAUACAACGUCCGCUGGGACCCCAUGUGCCCUGGCCAUCCUAUAUCCCUGACAGGAAGCUCAGCGAUGACACAUUUUCAGAUGCUUGCCAGGUAUUUAUGGAUUGGAGCAAUGAAAAUUGCAGCACACAUCUGUCACAUGUGU